This 441-nucleotide ribosomal RNA is filed under the name uncultured bacterium. Its description in RNAcentral is "partial 16S ribosomal RNA". It matches the Rfam family "Bacterial small subunit ribosomal RNA", at positions 338 to 795 of the family's 1533-position model. The record is from RNAcentral.
CCUACGGGAGGCUGCAGUGGGGGAUAUUGCACAAUGGGGGGAACCCUGAUGCAGCGACGCCGCGUGGGUGAAGGAGUGCUUCGGCAUGUAAAGCCCUAUUGGCAGGGAAGAAGCAAGACGGUACCUGACUAAGAAGCCCCGGCUAACUACGUGCCAGCAGCCGCGGUAAUACGGAGGGGGCGAGCGUUAUCCGGAUUCACUGGGUGUAAAGGGAGCGUAGGCGGCCAUGCAAGCCAGGGGUGAAAGCCCGGGGCCCAACCCCGGGACUGCCCUUGGAACUGCAUGGCUUGAGUGCGGGAGGGGCAGGCGGAAUUCGUGGUGUAGCGGUGAAAUGCGUAGAUAUCAGGAAGAACACCGACGGCGAAGGCGGCCCGCUGGACCGCGACUGACGCUGAGGCUCGAAAGCGUGGGGAGCGAACAGGAUUAGAUACCCCGGUAGUC